UUCUCUCAGGUCUGGAAGGCCAGGAUCCCUCCUAAAGUUAAGAUUUUCUUAUGGCAAGCUUUUAGGGGCCGGCUGCCUUCGGCUGACCAAAUUCGUAAGAGAAAUGGUCCUGGUUCACAGUUAUGUGCCUUAUGUGGUGGCUUGGAGGAUACGGCUCAUAUCUUCUUCCAUUGUGUCCUGGCUAAGUUGAUCUGGAGUUGCGUGAGAGAGUGGCUUCAUGUAGCCUCGGACCCUGCUUCGUUCUCUGAGCUCCGGGCUCUUGCUAAUAACCUGUCGGGUGUUACCAAACGUAUCUUUUGGGUGGGCUUGGGAGCACUAUGUUGGUCUCUCUGGACGACUAGGAACAAAUUUACUAUUGAACAUGUGUUUCCGGCUAAACCUGCUGAUUGCUUAUUUAAAUCGUGUGCUCUCUUGAAGCAGUGGAAAUCAUUGACUAAGGAGGAAGACCAAGAUGCAUUGUCUGCGCUGAUCUCUAAAGUUCGGGCCUCGACGUCUAUUCUAUGCAGACAAGAGCAGGUUGCUUAG
Molecule: ribosomal RNA, 525 nt
Filed under: Triticum aestivum (bread wheat)
Lineage: Eukaryota; Viridiplantae; Streptophyta; Magnoliopsida; Poales; Poaceae
Description: partial small subunit ribosomal RNA
Source: RNAcentral